CGAACGCUUUGUGGUUCAACUGAUUUGAAGAGCUUGCUCAGAUAUGACGAUGGACAUUGCAAAGAGUGGCGAACGGGUGAGUAACACGUGGGAAACCUACCUCUUAGCAGGGGAUAACAUUUGGAAACAGAUGCUAAUACCGUAUAACAAUGACAACCGCAUGGUUGUUAUUUAAAAGAUGGUUCUGCUAUCACUAAGAGAUGGUCCCGCGGUGCAUUAGCUAGUUGGUAAGGUAAUGGCUUACCAAGGCGAUGAUGCAUAGCCGAGUUGAGAGACUGAUCGGCCACAAUGGGACUGAGACACGGCCCAUACUCCUACGGGAGGCAGCAGUAGGGAAUCUUCCACAAUGGGCGAAAGCCUGAUGGAGCAACGCCGCGUGUGUGAUGAAGGGUUUCGGCUCGUAAAACACUGUUGUAAGAGAAGAAUGACAUUGAGAGUAACUGUUCAAUGUGUGACGGUAUCUUACCAGAAAGGAACGGCUAAAUACGUGCCAGCAGCCGCGGUAAUACGUAUGUUCCAAGCGUUAUCCGGAUUUAUUGGGCGUAAAGCGAGCGCAGACGGUUAUUUAAGUCUGAAGUGAAAGCCCUCAGCUCAACUGAGGAAUUGCUUUGGAAACUGGAUGACUUGAGUGCAGUAGAGGAAAGUGGAACUCCAUGUGUAGCGGUGAAAUGCGUAGAUAUAUGGAAGAACACCAGUGGCGAAGGCGGCUUUCUGGACUGUAACUGACGUUGAGGCUCGAAAGUGUGGGUAGCAAACAGGAUUAGAUACCCUGGUAGUCCACACCGUAAACGAUGAGUGCUAGGUGUUUGAGGGUUUCCGCCCUUAAGUGCCGCAGCUAACGCAUUAAGCACUCCGCCUGGGGAGUACGACCGCAAGGUUGAAACUCAAAGGAAUUGACGGGGACCCGCACAAGCGGUGGAGCAUGUGGUUUAAUUCGAAGCAACGCGAAGAACCUUACCAGGUCUUGACAUCCCUUGACAACUCCAGAGAUGGAGCGUUCCCUUCGGGGACAAGGUGACAGGUGGUGCAUGGUUGUCGUCAGCUCGUGUCGUGAGAUGUUGGGUUAAGUCCCGCAACGAGCGCAACCCUUAUUACUAGUUGCCAGCAUUCAGUUGGGCACUCUAGUGAGACUGCCGGUGACAAACCGGAGGAAGGUGGGGAUGACGUCAAAUCAUCAUGCCCCUUAUGACCUGGGCUACACACGUGCUACAAUGGCGUAUACAACGAGUUGCCAACCCGCGAGGGUGAGCUAAUCUCUUAAAGUACGUCUCAGUUCGGAUUGUAGGCUGCAACUCGCCUACAUGAAGUCGGAAUCGCUAGUAAUCGCGGAUCAGCACGCCGCGGUGAAUACGUUCCCGGGUCUUGUACACACCGCCCGUCACACCAUGAGAGUUUGUAACACCCCAAAGCCGGUGGGGUAACCUUC
Molecule: ribosomal RNA, 1426 nt
Filed under: Weissella confusa
Lineage: Bacteria; Bacillati; Bacillota; Bacilli; Lactobacillales; Lactobacillaceae
Description: bacterial SSU rRNA
Rfam family: Bacterial small subunit ribosomal RNA
Source: RNAcentral